GAAAGACUGUUUCUGUCAUUUGCUAUUAAUUGUGUCUUCAGAGAAGAGUUAAAGCGGGGGAAGUUCACCUGGAUUAUUUAAUAUGAAAAUAAAUGUUUCCAGUUUGGUUUAAAAGAAAGCGACUCCGAAUCGAUAUUAUUUUCUUGCAGUAAAAUGCAAAAUCCAGAAAAAAAAGAACUUAAGUAAGGGGGAAUUGCUUUGCUAGUGUUUGCAGCAAACACUUCUAUCACAGAGGCUUAAACUGUCCUGCUGUCUCUCUGCCCGCCUGUUUGCUGUCUCCAGUCAGCUAGAACAUGCUGACCACUUCCUACUAGUCUCAACAGAGACAUUAAAAUGCCAAAAAAGAAGAAUUUUAUUCUUGCAAGAAAAUGUGUGAAGGGGGAGAGACCCACGCUUGGGCUGCCACCAAGAGAAAACCUUCAGCGUGCUCAGCCCCCUUGCCAGACACCGAAAAGCCACAGAAGAGGACCGGCACCCCGCAGGGCCCCCAGACAGAGCCAGCAACACCUGGUGCCUCUCCUACCUCCAGAACCAAGGCUACUGCUUUGUUUCAGUGCCUCAGCUGGGCUGGCCAGCAGAGAGAAACGCCUCAGCAGGACAGAGACCCCGGGACAGUGCACAAUGAAGACUCAGGAGCCUUCAUCGCAGAGCUUGUGCUUACAAACCUGUGUGCAAAAGCUGAAACGUGGGAAUUCCUGACCGGGAAGCGGGAGGGGGCUGCCAGUUCCUAUCAGCCACCAGCCGUCGGGGCAUGUGCAGAAAAUGCUGAUUUCCUCCAGGACCUUCGCACAUCAGCCUGGGUGAAGCAGCUCAUUAAAAGCAACUAAUUGCUGCAGUCAGUUGUGACAUGAAUUUUUCAAGGUUAAUUUAGCUUAGCACUAAGAGUCCUCCAUUUAUCUCCAAAGAGGGCGAACCGUACCUGCCAGGCAGCCACCCCUAUGCUGCAUCUCCCCUCUGCAGACCCUCCAGAGCCAGGAGAUCCGAUGUGGAGCAUCCUCAGGGACCGCUGCGAGGGAGCGUGGGGGAAACCCGACCCAGGGAAGGCAAAGGUGUGGUACCACAGUGCCGUGCUUGAUGCGUGCACCAGCCUUGCUUUGUCCUGAAUGAUUCCUUCAAGAGUCCUUUCAGCCAUUUGCACAACUUACAGGAACACUGGGGAAAGCAGAGGCUGAAACAUGAAAAGUUCACUAAAACUUCCAGGUUCAACUCCCUGAUCCCAUCGCCCCCUAACCAUAAAGUUUCCAUAAAAAAUUCUCCCCACUGAUGGAUUCCCAGGUGGUAUUAAAGAUGGCAGUAACUCUCUGCUGGGUCUUGCUGGAACUGUUACAGUGCUCGGCGUGGAAUCCUUUUCCGCUCCCUCAAAGAACAAAACAAGACCAGAGAAGGAAGCCAACACCGUGCCUUCUCCGGAGGUGGUGUUUCAGGCUGGGCUGUGGGUGGUUGCACCAGAAUCUGCCCUCCUUUUUGGAAAGUCUGUACUAACCAGGCAGUGCUGGGGGUUUGGUGUGUGGGCCACCAAGAGAUGAGGCCACGCAGGAGCAAUGGGGACCUGUGGCCAUCUGCCCUGGUGGUCACCCACAGCACAUCACCAACCAUGUCCCCCCAGGAGACAACUGCAGAGCCCAACCUUGCCAAAUUCUGGGUGCGGUGGGGCUGAGAGCUGGGUCACUGGGGGCACCCCAAGCCCUGUCACCCCCAAACCUGCCCCCCACCCUUGGAGGAGGUGUGUGGUGCUGAAGGGGAGACCACACUGGGGCUCGCCCCACCUCAGCAAGGGCCUUCUUG
This 1785-nucleotide long non-coding RNA is filed under the name Anser cygnoides (Swan goose). RNAcentral describes it as "lncRNA (ENSACDG00005009133.1)". Lineage: Eukaryota; Metazoa; Chordata; Aves; Anseriformes; Anatidae. The record is from RNAcentral.